Molecule: non-coding RNA, 600 nt
Organism: Phascolarctos cinereus (koala)
Lineage: Eukaryota; Metazoa; Chordata; Mammalia; Diprotodontia; Phascolarctidae
Source: RefSeq, a predicted model, not a curated record
GGAUGAACAUAAUAAUAUCUAAUUUUUCCAUCCCUUUCAUACUGAGUUCUGUCAUUUCUCCUAUCUCCUCUACUUACAGUUAUGAAAGCUUUAAAAUGCAUAGGAUGAUUUGGUGACUGAAUAUGAACCUCUGGCCAAGUGGAUACUUGCAUUCUUGAAAGAAUUCCACUGGGGCCCUCGAUCACAUAUCAUGCUUAUCCCCAACUGAAAUCUCUUGAGAUUCAUAGGACUCUUGUCCUAAACAUUACUCAUCUCUUUUUAUUUUUUCUACCCACAGAAGACCCAGGCGAACCAUCAAGCGAAUCUGAAGAAGACCCAGGCGAAUCAUCAAGUGAAUCUGAAGAAGACUCAAGCGAACGUCAAGAAAGCCUCUUCACUUCUGCUAAGAACGCCUUUCUUCAAAUCUACUCACACCAUUGAUUUCUGGAGAGACAGCAAGAAGGAAUAGGAGGUGGUUCUGAUUCUUCUUACAACAUCAUUAAUGUGAAAAUAUUUAAUAGAAAUGUAUAUGCAUAGCCCAUAGUAGAUUGCACACCAUAUUGGGGAAGGAGGCAGGGAGGGAGGAGAAAAAUUUAAAACUCUAAAGCUUAUGGAAAUGAU